UUUCGCAAUGCCCGAAAGGGUGACCGAGCGACGCCGCGUGUGGGAUGAAGGCUCUCGGGUUGUAAACCACUGUCAGGGGGGAAGAAGGCCCGAAUGGUGAAUUCGGGAGAGACGGUACCCCCAGAGGAAGCCCCGGCUAACUCCGUGCCAGCAGCCGCGGUAAUACGGAGGGGGCAAGCGUUGUUCGGAUUUACUGGGCGUAAAGGGCGCGUAGGCGGGAUGGUAGGUCUGUUGUGAAAGUGCUACCGCUCAACGGAGCAAAGCCAACGGAAACCGCCAUUCUUGAGACCGGGAGAGGUGAGUGGUAUUGCUGGUGGAGCGGUGGAAUGUUUAGAUAUCAGCAAGAACACCGGUGGCGAAGGCGGCUCACUGGCCCGGUUCUGACGCUCAGGGCGCGAAAGCGUGGGGAGCAAACGGGAUUAGAUACCCCGGUAGUCCACGCCCUAAACGGUGGGCACUAAGUAGAGGGGUUUUAAUCUC
This 480-nucleotide ribosomal RNA is filed under the name uncultured bacterium. RNAcentral describes it as "bacterial SSU rRNA". It matches the Rfam family "Bacterial small subunit ribosomal RNA", at positions 364 to 841 of the family's 1533-position model. The record is from RNAcentral.